Molecule: ribosomal RNA, 300 nt
Filed under: Triticum aestivum (bread wheat)
Lineage: Eukaryota; Viridiplantae; Streptophyta; Magnoliopsida; Poales; Poaceae
Description: partial small subunit ribosomal RNA
Source: RNAcentral
AUGAAAAUCCUAGGCUGGAACUGCCGUGGCAUGCUCUCCUCCACGGCAGUUCGCGAGCUCUUGGAUUUACAAGGGCGCAUCAAGGCAGAUUUGAUUUUUCUUUCUGGGUCUCAUUUGAAUAAAUGUAAAGCCGAUGAGCUGCGUAGUGUUCUAAGUUUUGAGUCGAUGUUUGUAGCUGAGAGUGAUGGUCGGGCCGGUGGCCUUGUUUUAUUUUAUAAUGAGAUGAAUAAAGUCGUCUUGAACUAUGUGUCCGCUAAUUUCAUUGAUGUUUUGUUUAUGAAUGAGGAAACUGUACAAUGA